UACAAAUUGUUCCUAUCUGGGUUUUUAAAAAAAGAAAAUUGGUCAGAAGGGACUCUAUCUAGCUGCCAGGUGUCCAAUUCGGACUAAUUAGACUAAAAUGCUCCCGAAUCACAAAUUUUGGGACUAAUUUUACUAAUUUUGCAACUUGUUAAACUAAACUGAUCCCACCUCUUAAGUUGUUGGUUCAGUGGUGCAAUUACCUCAAAAAGAAGCGGAUGGAGCCAUGGAGGCACCGGUGGAACUAUAUUGGGGCCAAACUGGGCCAGGCCUGCCCAGGUUUUUGCAAAAGAAAAAAAAACUAGUACUAGUAAAGCCCCAGUCCAGUAGAAGAAAAUUUGAGUUCUC
Molecule: long non-coding RNA, 345 nt
Filed under: Brachypodium distachyon (stiff brome)
Lineage: Eukaryota; Viridiplantae; Streptophyta; Magnoliopsida; Poales; Poaceae
Description: long non-coding RNA (BDIS_LNC001752)
Source: RNAcentral